AGGGAGACCUACCUUGGGGCAUCUGAGGGGAGUUAGACCACCCUUAGGCCAGCAAAGGUUAUCCCAGGUCGGUCGGGGUUGAAGGGAUGGUUGACUGGGGUUCUGGGGGAGAGCCAAGGGAAGGGCUAUUAGCUCAGGUGGUUAGAGCGCACCCCUGAUAAGGGUGAGGUCCCUGGUUCGAGUCCAGGAUGGCCCACUGUUUGUCCUGGAGAAGGGAGAGCUAGCAAGCUAGAAGCGAGCUGGCCAAGCUGAGGGCAAAGCCAGAGGGUGGGUGCAGUCUGGAUUGGGGGUAUAGCUCAGCUGGUAGAGCGCUGCCUUUGCACGGCAGAAGUCAGCGGUUCGAGUCCGCUUACCUCCACCAC
RNAcentral lists this transfer RNA (362 nucleotides) under uncultured cyanobacterium. RNAcentral describes it as "partial 16S-23S intergenic spacer". The stretch from base 286 to 358 matches the Rfam family "tRNA". The record is from RNAcentral. Lineage: Bacteria; Bacillati; Cyanobacteriota.